This 330-nucleotide ribosomal RNA is filed under the name uncultured bacterium. RNAcentral describes it as "bacterial SSU rRNA". It matches the Rfam family "Bacterial small subunit ribosomal RNA", at positions 568 to 898 of the family's 1533-position model. The record is from RNAcentral.
UGUGUAGGCGGUUCUCUAUGUUCGGUGUGAAAUCUCCCGGCUUAACUGGGAGGGUGCGCCGAAAACUGGAGGGCUUGAGUAUGGGAGAGGAAAGCGGAAUUCCUGGUGUAGCGGUGAAAUGCGUAGAUAUCAGGAGGAACACCUGCGGUGUAGACGGCUUUCUGGACCAUCACUGACGCUGAGACACGAAAGCGUGGGUAGCAAACAGGAUUAGAUACCCUGGUAGUCCACGCCCUAAACGAUGCAUACUUGGUGUGAGCCGUUCAUUCGGUUCGUGCCGGAGCUAACGCGUUAAGUAUGCCGCCUGGGGAGUACGGUCGCAAGGCUGAA